Non-coding RNA from Schistosoma mansoni, 48 nucleotides. The record is from Rfam. NCBI's taxonomy places the organism in Eukaryota, Metazoa, Platyhelminthes, Trematoda, Strigeidida, Schistosomatidae.
AUCCAACUAACGAGUCCCAAUUAGGACGAAACGCGCGUCAAACUGGAU